UACGAAGGGGGCUAGCGUUGCUCGGAAUCACUGGGCGUAAAGCGCACGUAGGCGGAUUGCUAAGUCAGGGGUGAAAUCUUGGAGCUUAACUCCGAAACUGCAUUCGAUACUGCCGUGCUUGAGGACUGGAGAGGAGACUGGAAUUUACGGUGUAGCGGUGAAAUGCGUAGAUAUCGUAAGGAAGACCAGUGGCGAAGGCGGGUCUCUGGACAGUUCCUGACGCUGAGGCACGAAGGUCAGGGGAGCAAACGGG
Molecule: ribosomal RNA, 253 nt
Filed under: uncultured bacterium
Lineage: Bacteria
Description: partial 16S ribosomal RNA
Rfam family: Bacterial small subunit ribosomal RNA
Source: RNAcentral